GCCUGGUGGUUUCAAGCGACAGCUGAUCUGUGUGUCUUUGAUUGACAGGCACAAAUAAACUCAGAUUCUAUGCAUGGGAGCUGCCACUUCAAGUAGCCUCCAUAGCCUGGUUGCAGUGACAUCA
RNAcentral lists this small nucleolar RNA (124 nucleotides) under Salmo trutta (river trout). RNAcentral's name for it is "Small nucleolar RNA SNORA84 (ENSSTUG00000047563.1)". It matches the Rfam family "Small nucleolar RNA SNORA84". Lineage: Eukaryota; Metazoa; Chordata; Actinopteri; Salmoniformes; Salmonidae. The record is from Rfam by way of RNAcentral.